This 253-nucleotide ribosomal RNA is filed under the name uncultured bacterium. Its description in RNAcentral is "partial small subunit ribosomal RNA". It matches the Rfam family "Bacterial small subunit ribosomal RNA", at positions 27 to 286 of the family's 1533-position model. The record is from RNAcentral.
GGGACGAACGCUGGCGGCGUGCUUAACACAUGCAAGUCGAGCGGAAAGGCCCUUUCGGGGUACUCGAGCGGCGAACGGGUGAGUAACACGUGAGCAACCUGCCCCUGGCUCUGGGAUAGCCUCCGGAAACGGGGAUUAAUACCGGACAUGACCCUUGACCGCAUGGUUGGGGUGGAAAGUUUUUCGGCCAGGGUGGGCUCGCGGCCUAUCAGCUUGUUGGGGGGUGACGGCCCACCAAGGCGACGACGGGUAG